CCAGCCCAGCCUAGAGAUAGAUGCCUGGUGCUCCAGAACCAGGAGAAACCACACUCAGGAAAGUGAAUGUAUGUGUACCCUUCGCCUUCCCUCCCCACAGGACAGCAGUUUGCCUGGGUCCCUGGGUCCAGGCCAGGGUGGCAUCCUGUGGAGCUACUGCCUUGAGGGCUGAACUUUCCGAGGGGCCAGGAGCGAACAGCUUCCAUGUAACCUCUACUUGACCUUCCCUGAAACACUCCAGUUCCUUGGAGAUCAGAAAGUUCUGCCUCACCACAGCAGAAGCUAAAGGGUUCCCGGACAACUCCUUGGCCAGUAGCUCCCCUGAAGCUGCCUGGGAUGGUACUCACCCCAGCGCAGCCCAGGUCCCUUCCUUUUCCAUCCUGUCUCACAGCCCAGCUGUCCAGUCUUCCCUGAAUGCUGCAAGUCUCCACUAUCUUCCUGAAGUUCAUCAUGGGUCAUCUGUACUGGAUGUGAGUGGGAGCAGUCUGACUUGGUGAAUAAGGACAGGUGUCUCCAAAGGCAUUAGACCAAGAUUACAGUUUCAAUCUAUGCACCGCUCAAAAAUUCCAAGCAGAUUCUAUUAAACAGAAACAAGUACUAUUAUUCUUACUUUGGAUCUGGGAAAAAUGAAUAUUUCAAAUGGCAUAUUCACAGGUAAUCAAUGAGUCAGAUUUUUGAUUGUUUGUUUUUCUCUUUUUGAAACAUCUCCUGCAUGCUUUGAAUUGCAAAGUCCUUUCACAAAUGCUGUCUCCUCUGACCUCAUCUUCAGAACAUUUCUGGGUAAUAGAUAUUAUUAUUUCCAUUUACCCCGGAGGAAAUCAAGACUGGCUGACUCACCCACAUCCAGCAGCUAUCACAACAGUGAACACUGCCAGCCUCCAGUGUGACAGAGGGAGAACUUAUGAGUGAAGGAAAGAAAGGUUCAGUUACCUGCAAUCAACUGCGGUCUGAAAAUAUAUAAUGGAAAACUCCAAGAAGAACCCAUCCAUGAGUUAUGAACUGUACCAUGCUGACUCCCUGGAGGAAGGGACUGACAUGAAUAAGGAGGGGAUGUGUGGCCCCAGCCUCAGGAAGCCAGAGCACAGGACCAGACUCUGAGGACUUGGUGAACACACCGGCAUCUCUGUCUCCUUCACAAGGUGCUCUCUCCCCUGCUGUGGCCCAACAGGAUGAUUGAUGGGAGAGGGUCCUGGGGGCUUGGCUGAGAGGGUGGCAGAGAAGAACGGUUAGGGGAGACCACUCCUCACCUCAAGGAGGGUCCAGGAAUAAGGGAACAGAGAGUGAAUGACACCAGAGCAACCUGUGGCCACCAGGAAAACAUCAGUGAGUGCUGAGGAAAAGUCAAGCUGUGAUUCUGAUUAGAGUUAAGUAGAAAGGAAUAAUAAUAAAUGGUUAUGUCAG
Non-coding RNA from Heterocephalus glaber (naked mole-rat), 1401 nucleotides. Lineage: Eukaryota; Metazoa; Chordata; Mammalia; Rodentia; Bathyergidae. The record is from RefSeq and is a predicted model, not a curated record.